UACGGGGAGAAAAAUGAGCCGCGUGCAGCAGGGGCAGCCUCGGUCCCCUGCCUGCUCCGCCCACGGCGAGCGUUCCUGGGGCCUCGGGUUUCCCCCCUUCCGCUGGCUGCUCGGAACCGCAGGACCAACCCACCUGGCCGCCCUGCUUCCCCUCCAGUGGGUCCUGGCCUUCGAGAUCUUCAUCCCCCUGGUGCUGUUCUUCAUCCUGCUGGGGCUGCGGCAGAAGAAGCCCACCAUCUCCGUGAAGGAAGCCUUCUACACAGCGGCACCCCUGACGUCUGCUGGCAUCCUGCCUGUCAUGCAGUCGCUGUGCCCGGACGGCCAGCGGGACGAGUUCGGCUUCCUGCAGUACGCCAACUCCACGUGAGUGCCCACCCGCCCCUCGGAGCACCCACCCCUCCCCAGCCCAUCCAGUGAGUGACAUCUGCCACGGUGCAGGGUCACGCAGCUGCUUGAGCGCCUGGACCGCGUGGUGGAGGAAGGAAACCUGUUCGACCCAGCGCGGCCCAGCCUGGGCUCAGAGCUCGAGGCCCUGCGCCAGCAUCUGGAGGCCCUCAGUGCGGGCCCGGGCACCUCGGGGAGCCACCUGGACAGAUCCACAGUGUCUUCCUUCUCUCUGGACUCGGUGGCCAGGGACCCGCAGGAGCUCUGGCGUUUCCUGACGCAAAACCUGUCGCUGCCCAAUAGCACGGCCCAAGCCCUCUUGGCCGCCCGUGUGGACCCGCCUGAGGUCUACCACCUGCUCUUUGGUCCCUCGUCUGCCCUGGAUUCACAGUCUGGCCUCCACAAGGGUCAGGAGCCCUGGAGCCGCCUAGGGGGCAAUCCCCUGUUCCGGAUGGAGGUGAGGGCAUCCAUGUGUGGGAUGGGACUGGACUGCUGCCUAUCUCUGGGGGUGCUUCUGCUCCGUGGGUGAGGAAAGGGCCCCCUUGGUGACUUGGAGCUCCUCCUGGG
Molecule: small RNA, 951 nt
Filed under: Pongo abelii (Sumatran orangutan)
Lineage: Eukaryota; Metazoa; Chordata; Mammalia; Primates; Hominidae
Description: retained intron
Source: RNAcentral